RNAcentral lists this long non-coding RNA (420 nucleotides) under Cicer arietinum (chickpea). RNAcentral's name for it is "long non-coding RNA (CARI_LNC001446)". Lineage: Eukaryota; Viridiplantae; Streptophyta; Magnoliopsida; Fabales; Fabaceae. The record is from RNAcentral.
CAUUUCCUUCAGCUUUCUUCUCUUCUUACCUUUGAACACACCUCUCGAAGAUUGGGAAGUGGUUUCAUGCCAAGGAUCCUUCCACAUACUUCAUCAAGGUCUUUGUUGAGACCCAACUAGAAAUUGUAGGUUUUGUCCUUAUUCACCAAAUCCUUAUAUUGUUUCUUAUCAUCUGAAGAUUUCCAUUCAAUAGCUUCAUAAAUAUCUCGCUACUGUCAGUACCUAUUGAGAGUGUUGAAAUACUCAGUGACCUAGUGUUUACCUUGUUUGAGAUCAUGGAGAAUGCUUUUGAUCUCAAAGAUGGCAUAUGUAUUAUCAUAAUUGGAAUAAGUUUCUUUCACAACUGCCAUAUUUCUUUAGAUGUGUCAUAGUACAUAAAGUUUUCUCCGAUGUCAUUGGUCAUUGUGUUGAGGAGCUAAG